Gluconobacter oxydans 621H is the source of this 117-nucleotide regulatory RNA element. It matches the Rfam family "ALIL pseudoknot". The record is from Rfam. NCBI's taxonomy places the organism in Bacteria, Pseudomonadati, Pseudomonadota, Alphaproteobacteria, Acetobacterales, Acetobacteraceae.
UGCGUAUUUUGCCCAGGCGGAACUCGACCGCCGGUUCAGGCCAUGACGCGCUUCAUUGAUGAGCACCGGCAGACAUAUGGUGUCGGGUCAAUCUGCAAGAUCCUGCCGAUUGCACCA